RNAcentral lists this ribosomal RNA (433 nucleotides) under uncultured bacterium. RNAcentral describes it as "partial 16S ribosomal RNA". It matches the Rfam family "Bacterial small subunit ribosomal RNA", at positions 29 to 507 of the family's 1533-position model. The record is from RNAcentral.
AACGAACGCUGGCGGCAUGCCUAAUACAUGCAAGUCGAACGAGAUCUUCGGAUCUAGUGGCGCACGGGUGCGUAACGCGUGGGAAUCUGCCCUUGGGUUCGGAAUAACUUCUGGAAACGGCUGCUAAUACCGGAUGAUGACGUAAGUCCAAAGAUUUAUCGCCCAAGGAUGAGCCCGCGUAGGAUUAGGUAGUUGGUGAGGUAAAGGCUCACCAAGCCGACGAUCCUUAGCUGGUCUGAGAGGAUGAUCAGCCACACUGGGACUGAGACACGGCCCAGACUCCUACGGGAGGCAGCAGUAGGGAAUAUUGGACAAUGGGCGAAAGCCUGAUCCAGCAAUGCCGCGUGAGUGAUGAAGGCCUUAGGGUUGUAAAGCUCUUUUACCCGGGAUGAUAAUGAGAGUACCGGGAGAAUAAGCUCCGGCUAACUCCGUG